Molecule: long non-coding RNA, 3098 nt
Organism: Homo sapiens (human)
Lineage: Eukaryota; Metazoa; Chordata; Mammalia; Primates; Hominidae
Gene: LY86-AS1
Product: LY86 antisense RNA 1
Source: Ensembl
GACAGUUUUAUCAUCCACAUUGCUGACCUGGAAGAUGCAUCAUUGUCUAUGAUAUCUGCAAUGGAAAUGAUCACUAGGCAAUUUCAGCCUUGCAAAUCUAACUGUGGCGUGUGGAAAGAAGAGGAACCAGAAAAGAAUGUUUGUGAAGUUCUGGCUUGAAUCUCGUGCCGGGAGUGUGAAGAAGGUCCUUGCUUCCCCUUCACCUUCUGCCAUGAUUCUAAGUUUCCUGACGCCUCCCAGCCGUGCUUCCUGUUAAGCCUGUGAAACUAAAUUUGGGGGAUGCAUGCAACUUUUCCCUUGUCUGAAGUGAUAACUCUGCAUUCAUUCUUGACCACCAUUAAUCAUGCAUAGCUGUGCUCACUGAGGCAAUGUUUUUGAGCCAAUGGAUGAACAAGAUCUCAUUAGCACUGGUUUCCAUGGUUUAUCGCUCAUGGCCAAUGUCACACAGAAUUUUCAACCAGGAUGGGAACGCCCAGCAGCUGGAUGUCCAGCUGCCAAUUCAUCAAUUUGAGAACCUUUGGAAUGAGUACACAUCCAGGAGUGAAGAAGACAAGCUCAACUGCCAUUCUCUGAGCAGUUCAAGGCAUACUGAGUUGCGGGAGUUGUGUGGUGGUCCACUCUGACUGCAAGCACCCCUUUCUUGAACCGAACAGAGUCAAGUGGAAUCAAAGGACAUUACCUGUUGAUUCUUGGGCAAGGCCCAGAAUUUGGUGGACAUACUUAAAGAAGAAAGGAAUCUUCAGCUAAAGUGUCUACGAUCAAUUCAGAUUUGGAGGGCAUGGAUCUUCUGACAGUAGGGGCCAUUCUAGGAUUUUUUGGUUGAAGAGAUGAACUUCAACUUGGUUCCAGAUGGGUGGUCCAGCUAUUCUGCUGACAACAUUUUUCAGGGCAAGGCUUUUGCUACUGGAAUGAUUUAAGGAAGAUCCCUCAGUGUUUCAGAGUAAAGAUAUUUCUAAAGAAGUACCUGUGUCAUUGCCCAUCUUGAAGAUUGACUUUUAUGGAUUGCUCAAAUACUGAUAUCAGCUCAAUGUCAAUAUAUACUCCUACAUAUAAAAUCCAUCUUCUAAUCAUAAUCACUAGGUGGAUAUUGUUAUGCAAGGAAGAGAUGUGAAUAUACAGGAAAUGAGAUCCUUAAAGGGGUUGCCGUCCAGAUGUUAGAUCAAAGAGAUUAUGAUUCAUUCAACCAAGUCGCUGGACUUUUGAAGGCCUAUCCAAGUCAUGGUGCCUUUGAGGUUGCGCCUGUUACUAUUCAAAACUUGGUAUGUGUUAUUCCAUGUAAAUGUUAUGCAAUGAUUCAAAAAUGAAUACCAGGUUGAAAGAUGUUAUAACAGUCCCUUGUUCCAAUGAACUCUACCUUUGUGAGCAAAGGUGACCAAAAAGACCACACUGCAUGACCAGCAGCCCACAAACCAGACUGGGCUAAGUUCUGCUGCUAUUUCUAGAGCUUGCUGCUGUUCAAAGCACUCCUUGGGUCCAGCCAGAUUGCCAUACUUUCUUGAUGUAUUUCCCAUGGCUGCUUCAUUUGUUGUUCAUUUCUCUUAGUGCUUUUAGUAGGUUAUUGUUUUAGGUGGCGUAUCUGUACCUCCUCAUAAAAGAUUUUUGGGUCCACAUUUUCCACUCAAAAUCAUAGUAGCCAUGAUGAACACCUGGCAUCCUUUGGACAACUUUCCAUAACUACAUAAUAAUGAGCCAGUUUUUACCAUCCAUAUUAGAUAUGGCUAGAGUGACUAUUUUCUGAAUCAAAAUUGUGCUGAGCAUUUGCCAAAUAUCAGAUAAACUUAAAGCCCUAGAAGUAUCUUAGAAAGUCCAAGGGGAGUGUCAUUGUUCUAGACUUAGUUCAAAAGAUGCUAGACAAUGGCGUCCAAGUUCAGCCUUUGUAGACAUAUAGAGUGAACAUUACCCUUGCUGUUAUAGGUUUUAUUCUCCACUGAGGGCCACAGAGCCUCACCAUUGGUUUGCCCCACACACAACAGGGUAAAUUCCUACUCCUUUGUCAAUUAGGAAUUUUCCAGGCAAUGUGUUUACCUCUUGGGUAAAUACAUUACUUUCAUCAGUGUAACUUAACUAUAAAGUAUUUUUAGAGGAUCAGAUUAUUUGAGUAUGGCUGUGAUAAGUCUCUCCUUAAAUGGACCUUAACAAAGUAGAAAGAAAACGUUAGCAGACAUUUCAGACUAAUGAUGUUUUCUUUUUUUCAAGUGGGUUAUUUAGAGUUGAAUAGCAAUUACUUAAAGCUAGUAGCAAAGGAACAUUUUCUGUAAUGAUGUUUAUUUAUGCCUUUUCAUUCUAUAACAUUCAGCAUGUGACAAAGGAAUUAGAGAAAAGACUAGUCGAAUCUGGAGCCAUGCAAUUAAUGAAAUCCAUAUGUUUGAAGAAAUCGUCUUAUAUAACUCCCAUGCUUCUGAUAUUUCCUAGAACGUCUUAGAUUGAGGUCAUUGUGCACUAUUAACAGAGUCCUGGUUAAUAAUGUACAAUGACCUUAAUUCAGCAUGUUUUUAAUGAAUAGCUGAACUUCAUGCUUAUAACAUCCUGACUAUGCUUACAAAUAUUUUUCUAAAUUGCUGGUCUGUUUGCAGAUGCAUUAUCAGUGCAUGCAAAAAAUAAGAUUAUGCCUCGUUUAGGAUUCUCUUUCUUGUAAAGUCCAAUCACUGCUGCAUUAAGAUAGGUAUGGGAAUGUGUAGGCAAAGUCACAUAUAGUGACACACAUUGGAUAAAAAAUAUAAACUUCAGCCACAUGAUUCUUUCACUCAAAAACAUAAUGUGGCUCUCCUUUAUAUCUUUUUUUAAUGAUUUGCAUAGCUUUCCAUUGUGUGUAUGUGCUAUAAUUUGUUUUAAUAAACCCCCACUAAUUGAUAGCUGGAUUGUUUCCUAGUUUGUAAUUUAUAAACCAUGAUGCAAUUAACACCCAGGGAAACAUAUCUUUGUGUACUUGACAAAUAUUUCUACAGCAUAAGUUUCUAGAAGGGGAAUUUCUGGUUCAAAGGAAAUGUACACUUAAGCUAUGAUUGGUAUUGCUAAAAAACUAUUUGUUUCAAAUUCUCGCCAAUUCUGGGAAUCGGCAUUUUCAAUUUUUGCCAAUUUGAUGUGUCAAAAAUCUUACU